GACGAACGCUGGCGGCGUGCUUAACACAUGCAAGUCGAACGGAUAGGCCCUGCUUGCUGGUUACUUCAGUGGCGAACGGGUGAGUAAUACGUGGGUGUUUUGCUCUUCAUUUCGGGUUAAGUCUGGGAAACUGCGUUUAUUACCGGUUCGUCGUCAUUUUUAGUGUGAUGGUUGUAAAGAUUUUUCGGUGUCGGAUGAGCUCGCGGCCUAUCAGCUUGUUGGUGGGGUAAUGGCCUACCAAGGCGGCGACCGGUAGCGGGACUGAGAGGUUGGUCGGCCACAUUGGGACUGAGAGAAGGCACAGACGGCGAAGAGAGGAAGCAGGGGGGAAGAUUGAACAAGGGACGCAGGGCUGAUGCAGCAAGGCCGCGUAGGGGAUAACGGCCUUAGGGUUGAAAACGGCUAGCGAGAGAGAAGAAGCCUGUUGUGACGGUACCAAGAUAAGAAGCACCGGCUAACUACGUG
This 465-nucleotide ribosomal RNA is filed under the name uncultured bacterium. Its description in RNAcentral is "partial 16S ribosomal RNA". It matches the Rfam family "Bacterial small subunit ribosomal RNA", at positions 28 to 507 of the family's 1533-position model. The record is from RNAcentral.